GAUGAAGAACGCAGCGAAAUGCGAUAAGUAAUGUGAAUUGCAGAGUUCAGUGAAUCAUCGAAUCUUUGAACGCAUCUUGCGCUCCUUGGUAUUCUGAGGAGCAUGCCUGUUUGAGUGUCAUUAAAUUCUCAACUACACUGACUUUGAAUUGGUGUGGCUUGGAUUUGGGGGGAAAAUUGUUGUGGGCUUUUUGUAUAGUCUGCUCCCCUGAAAUUGAUUAGCGGUACCUUUGUGGAACUGUCUACAGGUGUGAUAAUUAUCUACAUCUUAGACAUCUGCUGGAAUGCUGCUUUCUAAACCUUACUUGUAUUGACAAUCUUGACCUCAAAUCAGGUAGGACUACCCGCUGAACUUAAGCAUAUCAAUAAGCGGAGGA
RNAcentral lists this unclassified non-coding RNA (376 nucleotides) under soil metagenome. RNAcentral's name for it is "partial contains 5.8S ribosomal RNA, internal transcribed spacer 2, and large subunit ribosomal RNA". The stretch from base 1 to 120 matches the Rfam family "5.8S ribosomal RNA", at positions 35 to 154 of the family's 154-position model. The record is from RNAcentral.